CAAGCAACACAGAGAAAUGUUGGCCUGCUGAAAAUAGAAGUGCAGAGACUCUCUCCCGUGACAGAAUGAGGCGUGGAGGAUUCGCAGAACUGUUUCCUCAAGGGCCCCAUAGUGAUACCGUCUUUUAUUCCUUUUAGUAGCCUCAUCAGUGCCCUGGAUGCAGUGACUUGUGUCAGGACAGCGUUCUCCAUGCUGGCUGCGGGUGA
This 206-nucleotide long non-coding RNA is filed under the name Homo sapiens (human). RNAcentral's name for it is "HSALNT0083396". Lineage: Eukaryota; Metazoa; Chordata; Mammalia; Primates; Hominidae. The record is from RNAcentral.